Molecule: long non-coding RNA, 2845 nt
Organism: Zonotrichia leucophrys gambelii
Lineage: Eukaryota; Metazoa; Chordata; Aves; Passeriformes; Passerellidae
Exons: 3
Source: RefSeq, a predicted model, not a curated record
GGCGCCCGCCCGCCCUCCCGCCCGGGAGGUGCCGGUACCUGUGUCCGCUGGCCGCGGUGCCUGCGCGCCGCUGCGCCCCUGCGGCGCGUCCGGCGGAGCGGUGCGGCGCGACUAGCAGCGCCGAGCAGGAGGAAACGGCAUCCUUUGCAGGAGGCAGCUCACAUUUUGUGAGGCUCCACGAGGGACCACAAACAGGCGGUUCUGGCUGCACUAGGGAGUGAAGCAAAAGGUUUCUCAUCGGCUCAGCCACUUGUUUGGUUGCAGGGAGGAUGCCUAGAUGCAGAUUAGGAGCCAGCAGUCCCAUCAGUGAAAUGUAAGUAGUGGCUGGAGCCUUGUCUGUGUGAAGGAUCCUGCCAGCACAGCUGUACCACUGACAGCAGUGGAAUAUUUUGCUCUAGUUCUCUAGAGGAAUCAAAGUGUGUAUUUUGUCUCUUGCUCUCUCUUCUUCUGUUGCUCCUCACUUCCUAAAAGUCAGCCACACAAUGCACAUGGUUUCUCCAUGUGUUUAAAAAUAAAAUGUUUGGGGUAAAAGACCAACAGCCAAAGCUGUUUUGAAGUCAGAAGCAUGUAAACAGUACCUGGAACCAAUAAUAACAAUAACGAUAACAAUAACAAUAAUAAUAAUAAGUCCUUUUGUGCCAUAAAUGUGCACAUUGCUAUCUGUUAUUUCAUUGUGAGACAGCACAACUUCUGAGAAUGUGCCUGAUGAAUAUUUGGGGGAGCUCUGCCUUCAGCUGCAGUGGCGCACAGCAGCACUAAUGCUUCUGGCUUCUCCACUCUCUUAUGUAACCAAAAUCACAAGUUAGAGCCCAAAUUACAAAGCAUAAGCAUGUGUAUAAUAUUAAGCAUACAAAUGGUGCCUGAAAUUACUAUCCUUUUCAUGUAGGUCUGUUUUAAUCUGUUAGAAUUUUUGCUUCUGCAGCUUUAUUGAUUUCAGUGUCUGCUGAUGCAGUUCAUAAUGCAAUCAAGCCUAACCCCUUAAAAACCCCACUGUGAAGACAUUAACCCAAACUUAACUAAGGCCAAAAUCACUCUGGCUACAGGUAGGUGGAGUUCAAAUGACUUUUAUACCUCGAGUGUAUCCUGUAUCUAGAUGCUGUAGCAAGCAGAACACCAUAUCCCUGUGGCUGCUUUGGCAACCAGUCAGAGUGGCAGGUUUCUUCACCCCAGCCCAAGGCAUGAGUUUGCCAUCACCUUCCUUUGAGUUUUCCCUCUUUCUCAGAGACUAUUUUUGCCAUUGCCAUGCUGAUCUACUUGCUGGAGUUUUAAGGUGUUGGAUGCUGAUACAGCGAGUGCCUCUUGUAUCUGUUUAAUCCGAUAACACAACUCUUUUUUAAUCUCCACGUCUGGGUCACAGGUUUAAAAAAGACACUGGGCCAAAUCCCCAGCUUGGCUACAACGUGUGGAAAUGUACUGAGAUGGCACGAAAGUCAGGAGAGAUUCACUGUGUUUGCACCCGGGUAGAGAGAUCUUGAGGGGCAGGGAUGUGAGUGCCAGAUUUCAGAUGGAUGAAUAUUAACCCAAGGCUAUGGCAGAGCUAAUUCAGGUCUCCAUAAGGAGAAAUCUUGUUUUCAUUGUUUGGCUGCUAGAGGGAACAUGAUGUUUCAUGGAGUCAGGACCAAGACUGGGCAUGGACAAAGAGGAGAUUUUGAAGGGAUUGGGAAGAUUUUACAAAUAAACAUUAAAAUUUAAAAAACCAAAACUUCAUCCAGACAUGAAGUCCAGCAGAAAUGUAGGAGAGAAAUGGACAGCACUGUAAAAGAUUGUGUAAGCAAGAAUGGCAAAAACAUGGUCUGAAUAAAUCCAUUGCAGUAAUGAUUUUCUAUACAUGAAUUUCCUACACAAAGUUAUAUGGGGUCAGUCUUUGGGGUUCCCCUGGAUAGCAGAGGAUCCUGAGCCUGAAAAAGGGAAGCAGAUUUUGUGAGGGAUUUGCAUAUCAUGGAGUGACUCUAGAUUGCAGAUUUUAAGCAUUACUAAAUUGGGGAAUAAAUUGUUGCUAUUGCUGUUACAUACCAGGAUAUCUCACUAAUCCACGCAAUCCACUAAGUUGCUGUAGUUUUAGUCUGUGUUUAUUUUAGAUAAAAUUAUGGCCUGGACAGUUAAUUUUUCUUGGUUUAUCCAUAUAAAUCAUAUAUAAAUAAGGUAUCAAACAGAAACCAAAACAUGACCUGUGUUUUUGGUACACUCCCCAUCAUGUGAACCUGCCAGUGAUAGAGCUCUGCACCCGGCUUACAAGACAAACACAAAGGCAAUGAAAAACCACAGAUCUUCUUGAAAAGUAGCCAGUUGGCAUUAAAUUCUCUUGCUUAAUGCUCUGGUUGGCCUAUUUUGCUUAUAUUUGAGACUGCCUAGCCAUUAUGGGAUUGCCUGCACUGGUCCUUUCCUUACAUCAAGCUAAUUACAAAUUAACUUAAGGCACUUAGAAGGGCUGAGAGGCUGGAGCUGGUCCUUUCUGAGUUUGGAAAUGCCCAUUUCUUUACAGUGGCUGAUUCCUAAAGUGAGGGGCAAACACACAGGAGCCAAACAGCCUGGAACCAAAGUGGUCACACUGGCAUUUGAAAAAAGUGAGUGUCUCAAGGUAACUGACAGUCAGCUACCUGGAAAUAAAAGCCUCUCAUAUAUCCAAAGGUUUUCACUGGGAUUUUCAAGAUCUCCUGAGCAAUUUAAAAUCCUUGAAAGGAAUGCACUAUAGAAUGAAAAAUAUAAGUAUUAUUAAAGAAUGUCUCUGAACUGAAAGCCAGCCAGUUUCAUAAAAAUGAGCUAAAAAAGCAAUAACAGGUAGUCUGUCUCCUGCUGGAUGCUGUAUGAACCGUAUGUUUUGUAUUUUGGAAGUCACUCUAAAACA